UUCCAAAGGCAGAUCCCUGCUGGAACAUUUCAACCCGCCUGCCACGUCAGUUUGCUUCCACCAUCCUCCCUCGCUCCUCUUUCUCUUCUGCACUUUCUCCUUCUCUCGCUCUUUCCGCCACAGAGGACUGGUAGAAACUGAACGGUACCAGUUGUUUUGAGGCGUAGUCAGACUGACGGGUUAAAGGUUUGUCUUUAGCUCUGGUCAGCGAUAUCUUUUGAAGCUCUUUUUGUUUCGCUGAGAGAGGGGACAUCUUUGCCAAGGCCUGGGCUGCUCUGACCGAACUAAUGGGCAGUGACCUGCAGACGGAGCGACCCCGCGGGCCUUCCCCCCUCCUCACCCCCCCGCCUGCCCAGUGUUCAGACUACCUGUUCAUCAGGCUGAAGCUGAACAGUAGUCUGCACAUUGGUUAGGCUGGGCCGGGACACACACACACUCAGGACACAUCUAACCACCAGCCAGCAGGGGCUCUGGUGAGAGGCUCUGGCCGGAUCUGAUUCUCCACCAUGACAAUGAGAGGGAGGAGGGAGCAUGCAAUGCAGAUCAUAUAUCAGCCCAUGGAGUAGUAGCAGAAUCUUUCUGGCAGUUUGUAUUGUAUUAUUUAGUGUUGUACUUAUCCCAGUGUUAGACACUCACCUCCUCAUCCUUGUACCAGGAUAGUGACUCUGCGGUCAGGAUGAACCAGUACUCCUUGGAGCCUCCCUUCAUGAUGCUGAUGUUGAUGGUGAGCCAGCCUUUGCGGAUCACCUGUUAGGGGAGAUAGGGGUGGGGGAACAGGGGAGCGAGGGGUGGUGGGGGACAAGGUAUACCAGGAAGAUGGAGGGAAAACAUGUCAUUAAAGUACUCAUGAUUUACCUCCUGGAGAUCUUGUGAUAUGACACUCUUAACUGAGUUUUGGUUGAUCCUGUCUUACCAAUAUAAGCACUAAGAUGUUCUACAUACUCUAAAUUUACUCUUCUAUUCUGAGUAUAAAGAUUUACAAUUUAAACAAUGUUUCUGAACAUGAACCCUGAUGUAUACAGUAAGCAUACAAAAGUAUCAUUCAGAAAGGAUGACUAACUGAAGGGGUGGAGAUUUAAACAGGAAACCUCAAACAAACCUUAAUAACCUCAAUACUAACUAAUAUGGGUCAUCCAGACCAAAUGGGACCCACACAGGGUCAGGGAUCAAGGGUCGGCGGUGGUAUGUUAGAGUGAGCGGGUCAGUAAAAGCUUGCCUAUACACGGUUAGCCAAAACAGACUAGGGUUAGUGGGUUAACUGGGCAGAGUCGUCAGACAUACACUCCAGUGUAGGGCACUGUAGGAGGCUAAACGCCUAUCUAAGGAACAGGAGAUAAAAAGAGAUGGAGAGGCAAGAGGUGGGCCAGACUGUGGGAGAGGAAUACAGCGAUAUGCAGAGACAGUGGAGACGGGUAGAUUGAGCCACAGCUCACGGAGCGGACGGGUAGAUAGAGAGGGGUGAAAAAAAUAAAAGGAGGAUUUAAGGAAGGGAGAGGGAGGGAGGAAAGAGAGAUGAGUCAGGGUUGAGAGGUUCUUUCUGUAGACAAGUUGUAUUAGAGCAGGGGUCUUCAACCUUUUCAUGCCCAGGGACGCCGUCGCAGGCAAACCGACAACGCAGGGAACCCCAUCCUAAGUUAGCAAACAUUGUUUUCACGACUUGUCUUAUCAGGUGAAUGAUAAUGUCAAGCAGAAGUAAUAACAUUUUAAAAUGAAUAGAUUUGGUAAAGAGUUUUUCAUUAUUUUGACCUCGCCACAUUAUAACUGGAAGAGGAAGUGUAAACUAACAGCCUAUUCGCUAGAAAAGGUAACUCCAAACACAUUUUUGCUAAGAACAACUGUUUAGCGCUGGUUAAACAAAGGUUAGCCAUGUCUGGCCAAAAAUGUAUGUCCAAGUCAACAAAGCUUUGCAGCAGCCAGCAGCACUUGCCACAGUGGAAGUCUAUUCACAGGUGCUGUUUCAAAGCCUAUGUCAGAUACACCAGCGAGUGUAAUUAUCUUUAACGAGUGUAAUCUGUUCAAUAUUAGGAGUUGAAAAAUAAAGUUGAUAUCAGAAAGAUA
Molecule: long non-coding RNA, 2058 nt
Organism: Salvelinus namaycush (lake trout)
Lineage: Eukaryota; Metazoa; Chordata; Actinopteri; Salmoniformes; Salmonidae
Exons: 2
Source: RefSeq, a predicted model, not a curated record